GGGUAUUUAGUUUAACAUAAAACAUUUGAUUUCGGCUCAAAAGACCGUGGUUUGAAUCCACCAUUGCCCU
RNAcentral lists this transfer RNA (70 nucleotides) under Bassozetus zenkevitchi (cusk-eel). RNAcentral's name for it is "tRNA-Arg". It matches the Rfam family "tRNA". Rfam says of the family: Transfer RNA (tRNA) molecules are approximately 80 nucleotides in length. Their secondary structure includes four short double-helical elements and three loops (D, anti-codon, and T loops). Lineage: Eukaryota; Metazoa; Chordata; Actinopteri; Ophidiiformes; Ophidiidae. The record is from RNAcentral.